Molecule: microRNA, 23 nt
Filed under: Cordylochernes scorpioides
Lineage: Eukaryota; Metazoa; Arthropoda; Arachnida; Pseudoscorpiones; Chernetidae
Source: RNAcentral
UUCGACGAUGUUGUGGUGCCUCU